UUAACUCAACUUUGUAUGGAGUUGGAACGUUUGCCGCUAGGGGCGCUGUUCCAACUGCAUACAAAUUUGAGUUA
This 74-nucleotide microRNA precursor is filed under the name Bombyx mori (domestic silkworm). RNAcentral's name for it is "mir-2807 microRNA precursor family". It matches the Rfam family "mir-2807 microRNA precursor family". The record is from Rfam by way of RNAcentral. Lineage: Eukaryota; Metazoa; Arthropoda; Insecta; Lepidoptera; Bombycidae.